ACCCCUACGGGGGGCAGCAGUGGGGAAUAUUGCACAAUGGGCGCAAGCCUGAUGCAGCCAUGCCGCGUGUAUGAAGAAGGCCUUCGGGUUGUAAAGUACUUUCAGCAGUGAGGAAGGUUCAUACGUUAAUAGCGUGCAUCUUUGACGUUAGCUGCAGAAGAAGCACCGGCUAACUCCGUGCCAGCAGCCGCGGUAA
This 196-nucleotide ribosomal RNA is filed under the name uncultured Vibrio sp. RNAcentral's name for it is "partial 16S ribosomal RNA". It matches the Rfam family "Bacterial small subunit ribosomal RNA", at positions 335 to 523 of the family's 1533-position model. Lineage: Bacteria; Pseudomonadati; Pseudomonadota; Gammaproteobacteria; Vibrionales; Vibrionaceae. The record is from RNAcentral.